UGUGUUUGACAGCAAGCAGACUUUAAUUGAGAGUGUAAAACCAAGGUGACCCCAGCCUCUUCAGUUACAUUAAUUUCCCUUUUCUCCUCAGGACAUAGGCAGGAAGACAGCCUGUUUUCUAACAAGAAUCCAGAAAUCAGUCUCCAUCCCCAAGCUGUUUUAUGUAGACUGGUUCAGAUGUCUCUCACUCUGGUUGGCUUGUGAUCUGUGUUCAGGCAUUUUCCUUCCUUGAGAACAGGAGUCCGUCUCACAAGAUUCAUCUGUCUUUUGAGGCACUGGGUAUAAGGGAAGUCACCCUGGAAUUAAGCUGCCUUUAUACUAGCUGUUCGCUCUGCCUAGAACAUUCUUCCCCAGAUAUCUGCACGGCUAGCUCCCUCACCUCCUUUAUCCUUCAAAUCUUUACUCAAAUACUACUUCUCAACAAGGCUCUAUUACAAUCUGCGCCCUUGGCCAAGCCCCUAGCAUCCCAAAUCUCCCUUACUUUGCUCUAUAUUUUGUCACAGCUCUUAUCAACUUCUCUGUCUUUGCUUUUUCUGUAGUUUGAAUAUGAUAUGCCUAGCUAUAUUGUAGAACUUAUAAUAUGCACUGACUGCAUCUUAGUAUUACUAGAAUGUAAGCUCCAUAAGAUCAGGAAUUUUUGUCUGUUUUAGUCACUGAUAUCCCAAGCACACAGACAUGGCACAUAAAAGGUACUCAAUAGAUGAGUGUGUGAAUGAAAGAGCGGCCUAGGGUCAGAUCCCACCCUGUCACUUACUCCAGCUGUGUGCCCUAGGCACUUUGCUUCCCUCUCGGCCCCAGUUUCUUCAUCUCUGAGACUGGGGUCUAAGCACCCACCUCCUGGAUAAUGCAUGUGAAGUGUCUGGCAGGGUGCUUGGCAUGAGCAGACGGUUAAUAAAUGGCGGCCAAUUGGCAUGAUUACUUCCCCCCUCGAACUCUUCACCUUCCAUCUCUUAUAAGUACCCUUUACUCAGGGGCAUCACCAAGAUAAUUAAUGUGGCAGAGCCUUCAGGUCUGGGGCUGUGAUGAGGGGGUGAGGGCAUGAGGCUGUGUAAAGCUCAAAGACCUCAGAAUUCUUUCUUUCCUGUGCCAGAUGGACUUGCUCUAGAGGAACGGGCAUCAGGCUCUCAGCAACCCCCAGCCCGCAGUUACACGGCAGCAGAGGAUCUAGAACCAACCUUGGGUCCUGUGAGAAAUCUGAGCCCCCCUUUGACCUACUAGACCACAUUUGCCACAGUUGAUUUUCUAAGCC
This 1249-nucleotide long non-coding RNA is filed under the name Equus asinus (donkey). RNAcentral describes it as "lncRNA (ENSEASG00005032867.1, ENSEASG00020033867.1)". The record is from RNAcentral. Lineage: Eukaryota; Metazoa; Chordata; Mammalia; Perissodactyla; Equidae.